This 453-nucleotide ribosomal RNA is filed under the name Triticum aestivum (bread wheat). RNAcentral's name for it is "partial small subunit ribosomal RNA". The record is from RNAcentral. Lineage: Eukaryota; Viridiplantae; Streptophyta; Magnoliopsida; Poales; Poaceae.
AUGGCGGAUGCACCUCUGUACAAGCAGCGCCGCAAGUACACCAGGGAGCUCCACGAUGUCCACCUCCACGGCAAUCACAAGCUCCACGUCCUUUGCACAAGCAAGGGCAAAGACGUGGACAAGAUGUUGUCCAUGUUUAGGAGGAAGCUCGGUGGAAUGCCCGUCAAACUAGUCGGCGUUGAUGUGCCAAUGGAACUAGACAAAUUCCUGAUGAAUGUUGAGUACACCUUCGUCGGAUUUGCUAUUGAAGGAGACAAAAGCAAGCUGAAGGUAUCUGGUUUGGAGAUCAACUCCAACAACUACAUUGAUAUUCAGAUGGAAUGGAGAGACCCAUACAAUAAAAAGAAGUUUGACUCUUUGGCUGAUGUUGCUGGCAGGAUGAUAGACAUUCACUACCAUGACAUGAAGAAAAAAAUUAACCGCAAGGAGGACCAUACUCUGUGGGGAUUUUGA